This 463-nucleotide ribosomal RNA is filed under the name uncultured bacterium. RNAcentral describes it as "partial 16S ribosomal RNA". It matches the Rfam family "Bacterial small subunit ribosomal RNA", at positions 28 to 507 of the family's 1533-position model. The record is from RNAcentral.
GAUGAACGCUGACAGAAUGCUUAACACAUGCAAGUCGAUGGGGAAGUGGUGCUUGCACCAUGGUAACCAUGGCGGACGGGUGAGUAACGCGUAAGGAACUUGCCUGCGGGACUGGGAUAACAGCAGGAAACUGCUGAUAAUACCGGAUAAGGUCAUUAAGCUGCAUAGCUUAGUGAUGAAAGGAGACGCCUGCGGAGAGCCUUGCGUCCUAUUAGCUAGUCGGAGGGGUAACGGCCCACCAAGGCGAAGAUAGGUAGCCGGCCUGAGAGGGUGGACGGCCACAAGGGGACUGAGAUACGGCCCUUACUCCUACGGGAGGCAGCAGUGGGGAAUAUUGGACAAUGGGGGCAACCCUGAUCCAGCAAUUCUGUGUGCACGAAGACGGUUUUCGGAUUGUAAAGUGCUUUCAGCAGGGAAGAAGGAAGUGACGGUACCUGCAGAAGAAGCGACGGCUAAAUACGUG